GUCCCCAUCGUCUAGCCAGGUCCAGGACAUCGGGCUUUCAAUCCGGUAACGCGGGUUCAAAUCCCGCUGGGGACA
Molecule: transfer RNA, 75 nt
Filed under: Deltaproteobacteria bacterium
Lineage: Bacteria; Pseudomonadati; Myxococcota; Myxococcia
Description: tRNA-Glu
Rfam family: tRNA
About the family: Transfer RNA (tRNA) molecules are approximately 80 nucleotides in length. Their secondary structure includes four short double-helical elements and three loops (D, anti-codon, and T loops).
Source: RNAcentral